This 468-nucleotide ribosomal RNA is filed under the name uncultured Glomus. Its description in RNAcentral is "SSU rRNA". It matches the Rfam family "Eukaryotic small subunit ribosomal RNA", at positions 569 to 1041 of the family's 1831-position model. The record is from RNAcentral. Lineage: Eukaryota; Fungi; Glomeromycota; Glomeromycetes; Glomerales; Glomeraceae.
AGCAGCCGCGGUAAUUCCAGCUCCAAUAGCGUAUAUUAAAGUUGUUGCAGUUAAAAAGCUCGUAGUUGAAUUUCGGGAUCGACGGGUCGGUCGCGCCUCUGGUGUGUACUGGCCCUGUCGGUUUCUCCCUUCUGACGAACCACGAUGUCAUUAAUUUGGUGUCGUGGGAAAUCAGGACUGUUACUUUGAAAAAAUUAGAGUGUUUAAAGCAGGCAUUCGCUUGAAUACAUUAGCAUGGAAUAAUGAAAUAGGACGUUUGAUCUUAUUUUGUUGGUUUCUAAGAUCGACGUAAUGAUUAAUAGGGAUAGUUGGGGGCAUUAGUAUUCAAUUGUCAGAGGUGAAAUUCUUGGAUUUAUUGAAGACUAACUACUGCGAAAGCAUUUGCCAAGGAUGUUUUCAUUAAUCAAGAACGAAAGUUAGGGGAUCGAAGACGAUCAGAUACCGUCGUAGUCUUAACCAUAAACUAUG